ACUCAAAUGAAUUGACGGGGACCCGCACAAGCGGUGGAGCAUGUGGUUUAAUUCGACGCAACGCGAAGAACCUUACCAGGGCUUGACAUCCCCCGCUAACCAUGGAAACAUGGUGUUCCAGGCUUCGGUCUGGACGGGGAGACAGGUGGUGCAUGGUUGUCGUCAGCUCGUGUCGUGAGAUGUUGGGUUAAGUCCCGCAACGAGCGCAACCCCUACUUUCAGUUGCCAGCAUUAAGUUGGGCACUCUGGAGGAACUGCCGGUGACAAACCGGAGGAAGGUGGGGAUGACGUCAAAUCAUCAUGCCCCUUAUGUCCUGGGCUACACACGUGCUACAAUGGCCGGUACAGAGGGAAGCGAAGCCGUGAGGUGGAGCGAAUCCCAAAAAGCCGGUCUCAGUUCGGAUUGCAGUCUGCAACUCGACUGCAUGAAGUCGGAAUCGCUAGUAAUCGCGAGUCAGCAUAUCGCGGUGAAUACGUUCCCGGGUCUUGCACACACCGCCCGU
Molecule: ribosomal RNA, 503 nt
Filed under: uncultured bacterium
Lineage: Bacteria
Description: bacterial SSU rRNA
Rfam family: Bacterial small subunit ribosomal RNA
Source: RNAcentral